This is a long non-coding RNA of Crotalus tigris (Tiger rattlesnake), 804 nucleotides long. RefSeq lists it as uncharacterized. The record is from RefSeq and is a predicted model, not a curated record. Lineage: Eukaryota; Metazoa; Chordata; Lepidosauria; Squamata; Viperidae. The transcript is spliced from 5 exons.
AAGUUUUGCUGCAAGUGAGGGGGUCGCCUCCGUUCAAUGGGGGGGGGUCCAAUGCGCGGCUCCCCCCCUUUUUUCAUUCUUUUGGGGGGGGGCUCUUCCCGCUGCCCCUCUUGAGCCGCCCCCGGAUCCACGCCCCUGGAAUGGGACUUGGCGACCGAGAUUGCACCUGAUUCCCCAGCCCUGGAGGAUGGACAGGUUGGCGGGGGAGGCAGGUCCCCGGGCGCAGGGUGAAGUCAGGAAGAACGCCGCGGUCUGUCUCUGCCGUGGGCAACGUGAAUCACAGUUCCUACUAGAAUGUGCAGAUUGCCUUUAUGUGAGUUGGGGUGACAGAGGGCCUGCUGGAUCGUGAAACCCCAACUGUCUGUUUGACAGGCUACAUGUCUGCCGUGGAUGCUGUUUUUCUCAUUGUGGCAAAGCAGAGGCUCAGAUGUGUGUAACCAGCUGUGUUGGAAGCCCAUCACCUGGUGAACUCUGUACACUUUUAAUGAGGAACAACAGAGAAUUCCUUUUGGUGGAAAUAUUUAAAGAAGACAUUGCUUUCUGCUAGCUGCUAGCACGUGCCAAUUGCUGGAAUUUUCAGCACUGUCACACGCAGAAAGCAUCCAUCAACGUGGUUUCGGAGCAGAAGGAGAAAGCACAGCAAGACAUGGUCAUACAAGAUGCUGGAAAGAAUCUGAAGAAAUCACCUCUUAAGAUGAUGGCCAUUUGCUGGAUUUUGGAGAAUCUUCAAACCAGGCAUGGAGCUAUCACUGUUUCUUCUGUUUACUGUGGUGUCUUAAUUUAUGAAUCUUUAACAAUCCUUCA